This 432-nucleotide long non-coding RNA is filed under the name Lathyrus oleraceus (garden pea). RNAcentral describes it as "Pisum sativum (pea) long non-coding RNA (PSAT_LNC017908)". Lineage: Eukaryota; Viridiplantae; Streptophyta; Magnoliopsida; Fabales; Fabaceae. The record is from RNAcentral.
CAAAUUUUGCAUUUUGCUUAUGUCUAAGUAGGGAGCAUUAUUGAAUAAAUUUGGUUUUGGAAUCUAAAGUUGGGGAGAGUAAAGAAAAAAUAGUUGAUUAGAAACUUGGAAAAGUGAGUUUUUAUGAAAGGGUGAAAAUAUGAAAAAAAAAACAAGAAAAAGAAAUCACCCUUGAAACCAUAGAGCAAAGAAAAAAGAAAAGAAAGAAAAAAAAACAAAGAAAAGGCUCAUGGUUGUGUGGAUAAAUAUAAGAAAAGGAAAAAGACGGGGAUCAAAGAAAUGGAAAUUGUGUAGAGUUGAAUGUAUGGGAAUGCUCCCUUAGGAUAGGCAACUUUGUUGAAUUCUCUUAAUCAUAUCAUUUCUUGUAACCCAAGCCACAUUACAACCCUUGAAAGACCUCUUGAUUCUCAUUUGUCACAUGAUUUGGUAUUU